UCUUCAAACGUGUUGGACAUAUUCCAUCCAGUGCGUCCGUCGCCUAAUCAAAAGUGAUCACCACACGAACGACACAGAUAAUAUGAACGGCAACCGAAAGAAGAUAAGAAAAGAAAAUAAAAAACACAAACCAAAUAACACAAUAACAAUAAGAACACACGCUAGUGCGCUGUUCAAGUGUGAACCGAAACUUGUGACUUAAGUACUUUUCCAGUGUGUCGCGCAAGUCUCAACUCUCAAUUACCCGCUCCGAUAGUUGAAGUCGUAAAUUUGCUGCUGUUGGCAUUUACAGGCGAGCGAUGAUGGUAGGGGCACAAACGAGAGCCAGUUACUUACUUUUCUGCAGCAAUUGGCCCUCUUCGUUGCAGACACAGCUUUGCGUUUUGCCAGAGUCUCAGUUACCUGUCGUGUUGGCCACAUUCGAAACGAUCAAUUCAGUUUACAAGCAACCAGUGAACAGAGCGGUUGUUGAUUGUUCGUCACUGUCUGGUACAACCAACCAACCUACCAACCAGCCCAUCGACCCAGCGAUGGUGUUUGUUUAAACAGAAAUUGAAUUCAAGACCCAAGUUCAGCCCGUCGCCCGUCCCCCUCACAAAGGAAAGCAAAAUAGAAAACCUUCACUAAUGAAAUAGCACAGAAACGCAACAACAGCAAUAACUGCCAGCCACGAACCUUCCGAAUAACAGCAACCCGUAUCUGGUCUUGUUCAGAUAAAAAUUAACACAAAAUAUAAAUCAAAAGUCAAGAACUAUGAGUGUUCGUUCAUUCGCUCGUUCGUUCACAAACAUCGAGGUGUAUGAGUGUGUCUCGGAGAACCUAUUUAUUUGCCCGCCAGACAACAAUUAAAACGUGUCAAUGAGAUUGUCGAAUUGCCGUUACGAAUCACCAGUCACACAUACGCACAGGCUGGAUAUGUGUAUGGUACAUCUGAGAUUCUUCUGAGAAGUUUUAAAGCUCGAAUAAUAUAAACGUACGUUUAGAUUUAGCAUACAAGUGCAAAUUACCAAAUGCAGCCAUAGCACCCGUGGCGGGGGAUCUGCAACGAAUAUUUAACUGCGAGCUGACGCAUUGUCUGAGUGAGUUAAGUGUUGGUGGCGGCUAUAAGAAAGGAUAACUGUUCUCACAAGCCGGGAAGCAAAAGUCCUGAUGUAAACAAGGACUUCAUAGCGAUCAUAUACUUUUUGACACCGUAUUAAACCCUUUCCAAGUUUGCAGUUUUUGUUGGCAUUGUGAAAUAAGGUCAGUAGUUAAUGUUUUCUUUGUUGUUUGUGUUUCUUUUUUGUAAUUAGUUAAUUCUAUUUAAAUAAAAUGCGUUGCUGGCUGAUUUUCUGUGACACUAACGCUGCAGAAAGUAACGAAAGUAAAAAUCAGUGAAA
This is a long non-coding RNA of Musca domestica (house fly), 1379 nucleotides long. RefSeq lists it as uncharacterized. The transcript is spliced from 2 exons. The record is from RefSeq and is a predicted model, not a curated record. Lineage: Eukaryota; Metazoa; Arthropoda; Insecta; Diptera; Muscidae.